GUGGGGAAUAUUGGACAAUGGGGGGAACCCUGAUCCAGCCAUGCCGCGUGUGUGAAGAAGGCCUUAUGGUUGUAAAGCACUUUAAGCGAGGAGGAGGCUCUUUUGGUUAAUACCCAGAAUGAGUGGACGUUACUCGCAGAAUAAGCACCGGCUAACUCUGUGCCAGCAGCCGCGGUAAUACAGAGGGUGCAAGCGUUAAUCGGAUUUACUGAGCGUAAAGCGCGCGUAGGCGGCCAAUUAAGUCAAAUGUGAAAUCCCCGAGCUUAACUUGGGAAUUGCAUUCGAUACUGGUUGGCUAGAGUGUGGGAGAGGAUGGUAGAAUUCCAGGUGUAGCGGUGAAAUGCGUAGAGAUCUGGAGGAAUACCGAUGGCGAAGGCAGCCAUCUGGCCUAACACUGACGCUGAGGUGCGAAAGCAUGGGGAGCAA
RNAcentral lists this ribosomal RNA (426 nucleotides) under uncultured Acinetobacter sp. RNAcentral describes it as "bacterial SSU rRNA". It matches the Rfam family "Bacterial small subunit ribosomal RNA", at positions 354 to 771 of the family's 1533-position model. Lineage: Bacteria; Pseudomonadati; Pseudomonadota; Gammaproteobacteria; Moraxellales; Moraxellaceae. The record is from RNAcentral.